RNAcentral lists this ribosomal RNA (492 nucleotides) under uncultured bacterium. RNAcentral's name for it is "partial 16S ribosomal RNA". It matches the Rfam family "Bacterial small subunit ribosomal RNA", at positions 28 to 507 of the family's 1533-position model. The record is from RNAcentral.
GAUGAACGCUAGCUAUAGGCUUAACACAUGCAAGUCGAGGGGAAACGGCAUUAUGUGCUUGCACAUUUUGGACGUCGACCGGCGCACGGGUGAGUAUCGCGUAUCCAACCUGCCCUUUACUUGGGGAUACCCCGUUGAAAGACGGCCUAAUACCCGAUGUAAUUCAUUGAUGGCAUCAGAUAUGAAUAAAAGAUUUAUCGGUAAAGGAUGGGGAUGCGUCUGAUUAGCUUGUUGGUGAGGUAACGGCUCACCGAGGCGACGAUCAGUAGGGGUUCUGAGAGGAAGGUCCCCCACAUUGGAACUGAGACACGGUCCAAACUCCUACGGGAGGCAGCAGUGAGGAAUAUUGGUCAAUGGGCGCAAGCCUGAACCAGCCAAGUAGCGUGCAGGAAGACGGCCCUAUGGGUUGUAAACUGCUUUUAUACGAGAAUAAUUUGAUGCACGUGUGCGUUAUUGCAUGUAUCGUAUGAAUAAGGACCGGCUAAUUCCGUG